CGAGGGGCAGCAUGGUCUUAGCUUGCUAAGGCUGAUGGCGACCGGCGCACGGGUGAGUAACACGUAUCCAACCUGCCGUCUACUCUUGGCCAGCCUUCUGAAAGGAAGAUUAAUCCAGGAUGGCAUCAUGAGUUCACAUGUCCGCAUGAUUAAAGGUAUUUUCCGGUAGACGAUGGGGAUGCGUUCCAUUAGAUAGUAGGCGGGGUAACGGCCCACCUAGUCAACGAUGGAUAGGGGUUCUGAGAGGAAGGUCCCCCACAUUGGAACUGAGACACGGUCCAAACUCCUACGGGAGGCAGCAGUGAGGAAUAUUGGUCAAUGGGCGAUGGCCUGAACCAGCCAAGUAGCGUGAAGGAUGACUGCCCUAUGGGUUGUAAACUUCUUUUAUAAAGGAAUAAAGUCGGGUAUGCAUACCCGUUUGCAUGUACUUUAUGAAUAAGGAUCGGCUAACUCCGUGCCAGCAGCCGCGGUAAUACGGAGGAUCCGAGCGUUAUCCGGAUUUAUUGGGUUUAAAGGGAGCGUAGAUGGAUGUUUAAGUCAGUUGUGAAAGUUUGCGGCUCAACCGUAAAAUUGCAGUUGAUACUGGAUGUCUUGAGUGCAGUUGAGGCAGGCGGAAUUCGUGGUGUAGCGGUGAAAUGCUUAGAUAUCACGAAGAACUCCGAUUGCGAAGGCAGCCUGCUAAGCUGCAACUGACAUUGAGGCUCGAAAGUGUGGGUAUCAAACAGGAUUAGAUACCCUGGUAGUCCACACGGUAAACGAUGAAUACUCGCUGUUUGCGAUAUACGGCAAGCGGCCAAGCGAAAGCGUUAAGUAUUCCACCUGGGGAGU
RNAcentral lists this ribosomal RNA (828 nucleotides) under uncultured bacterium. RNAcentral describes it as "bacterial SSU rRNA". It matches the Rfam family "Bacterial small subunit ribosomal RNA", at positions 63 to 881 of the family's 1533-position model. The record is from RNAcentral.